GACGAACGCUGGCGGCGUGCCUAAUACAUGCAAGUUGAGCGCUUAAGGUUGGUACUUGUACCAACUGGAUGAGCAGCGAACGGGUGAGUAACGCGUGGGGAAUCUGCCUUUGAGCGGGGGACAACAUUUGGAAACGAAUGCUAAUACCGCAUAAAAACUUUAAACACAAGUUUUAAGUUUGAAAGAUGCAAUUGCAUCACUCAAAGAUGAUCCCGCGUUGUAUUAGCUAGUUGGUGAGGUAAAGGCUCACCAAGGCGAUGAUACAUAGCCGACCUGAGAGGGUGAUCGGCCACAUUGGGACUGAGACACGGCCCAAACUCCUACGGGAGGCAGCAGUAGGGAAUCUUCGGCAAUGGACGAAAGUCUGACCGAGCAACGCCGCGUGAGUGAAGAAGGUUUUCGGAUCGUAAAACUCUGUUGGUAGAGAAGAACGUUGGUGAGAGUGGAAAGCUCAUCAAGUGACGGUAACUACCCAGAAAGGGACGGCUAACUACGUG
Molecule: ribosomal RNA, 497 nt
Filed under: uncultured bacterium
Lineage: Bacteria
Description: partial 16S ribosomal RNA
Rfam family: Bacterial small subunit ribosomal RNA
Source: RNAcentral